CAACAAGAACAACCACGAACAAAAGUUGCAGCAUGCCAAACAGAUCCUCCUUGUGUGGCAUCUCGCGGGACGCAGCUUUCUUUUACUACAUUGAGACCUCACCAACGAAGCAAAGGCAUACAGGCAACGCCGCAAUGCCAAAGUGUGGCAGUAGGCACAACGGCUCCUUCAGUCUCUGGGCCAUUCUCUUCAACUCCUUUGAAGGGUCAGAGGCCAGCAAAGAGACCUCGCCUUGAAUUUGAGGAGGAGGUGGAAGAUGUUUCCUCUGCAUGCACUGAUCCUCAAGAUUCCACAUACGAUCCUGCACAGUCUGCUACAAUGGAGACAGAAUCAUCUCAGCUUUUUACAUCGCCAGUGACUUCAUAUGGCGAUGCAAAAUACAUUGUUUUUGAGCAAUGCCUCUUCAGCCUGUUCGAGAUCUGCCCUGUGUGCACAAGAACCUGUACAUUCCUGCCACGCAGAAGAGGAUCCUUCCUAGCGAUCGACCAACUAUGCCCUCACUGCAAGUUCUUCCGACAGUGGAAGAGUCAGCCAGUUAUUGGGAGCACCCCUGUGGGCAACCUUCAGCUGUCUGCUGCCAUUUACUUUUGUGGAGCUUCAUUUUCAAAGAUGAAAAAGAUAUUUGAUGCAAUGCAGCUGAGAACACACACGUAUGAUGCCUUCAGAAGACA
This is a long non-coding RNA of Alosa alosa (allis shad), 671 nucleotides long. RefSeq lists it as uncharacterized. The transcript has 4 exons. The record is from RefSeq and is a predicted model, not a curated record. Lineage: Eukaryota; Metazoa; Chordata; Actinopteri; Clupeiformes; Clupeidae.